RNAcentral lists this long non-coding RNA (1980 nucleotides) under Anas platyrhynchos platyrhynchos (common mallard). Its description in RNAcentral is "lncRNA (ENSAPLG00000016903.1)". Lineage: Eukaryota; Metazoa; Chordata; Aves; Anseriformes; Anatidae. The record is from RNAcentral.
AUGCUUUUCCAUUUGUUCAGAUGGCAAAAGCUUCAACAGAAAAUAAGAGAGCAGAAUUUCAAUGGGGAAGCAGUGUGCUGGAUAAGGAGAGAAGCAAUAAUCGUCCUAGCCCUGAGACACAGAGCCCAAAGAACAGGUGUUACUGGGAGCUUUGAAGAUGUGAAUUUAAAAGCACAAAAGAAAACAACUGAAAAGAACUGAUUUUUGUCUUUUUGUGAACCUGAAUUAUAAAUUGGACUGAGCUGAUGCUGAGUGCGUAUCACAGAAUGGCUGAGAUCGGAAGGGACCUCCAGAGAUCAUCUAGUCCAUUGCCCCUGCUCAAGCUGGGUCACCUAGAACACGUUACACAGGAUCACAUCCAGGCAAGUUUUCAAUAUCUCCAAAGAAGGAAACUCCACAACCCCUCUGGGUAGCCUGUUCCAGUGCUCUGUCACCUGAACUGUAAAGAAGUGUCCCCUCAUACAGCAAUGAAACCUCCUGUGGUUCAAUUUAUACCCAUUACCCCUUGUCCUAUCACUGAGAAGAGUAUCACCCCGUCCACUUUACUUUGUCCCGUCAGGUAUUUAGAGGUUGAUAAGAUCUUAAUCUCCCCUUCUCUAGGCUAAACAGGCCCAGCUCAUGUAGUCUUUCUUCAUAGAACAGAUGCUCCAAUCCGUUAAUCAUCUUUGUGGCUUUGUGCUGGAAUUUAGAAGUUCUACGUCUCUCUUGUACUGUGGAACACAGAACUUCACACAGUAUUCCAGGUGUGGCCUCACUAGAACUGAGUAGAAGGGGAGGAUCACUUAUCUCGACCUGCUGUUCAUACUCCUCUUGAUGCAGGCUAGGAUCCCAUUGGCCUUCUUGGCCACAAGGGCACAAUUUGUUCUUAUUUGUUCUCAUUAUUUUUUUAUUAUUAUUAUUUUUUUUUUCGGGGGGAUGUGUGAGUUAUCUUGCUCUAAGCUUUUCUUAUCCAGACACUCUUAAUGAACUUGGAAGUACUGUGCUGCAUGGGAGUUGGUCUAUCAAUCUAUUAUUUUUACCCAUUCAAAAGUGGAUAAUCUUUGUCUUCAAAUUAAUAAUCUGCCCAUAUGAAAGAAGUUAAUAUGACACUCUAUGGGUCAUAUUAACAUAUGGGUCUUUGUGAUAUCUUAAGAUAUCCCAAAGGAGCUAUCUAAAAUAGGGAUGGAAUUAGGAACAUAUAUAUAUAUUGUUUUUUUUUUUUUUUUUAAAUAAGUAUAAAGUAUUGCUUUUUUUGAUCAACUACGUGGUUACGGAACUUAACAAUCUUUUUAUGUUAUAGUGUUGCAGAAUUUGUUAUAUCAAUAAGGUACAUAAGUGGUUACAUCCCAUCUAACAACUCUUCUGAAAAGAGUGGCAUUAUUACAAUGACAUGUGCAAUCUUGGUGAAUUUCUCUACCAUAGGUACAGAGGAAUCUUUUUACCUCGUAAGCUCAAUUCUUUUGUAGAAAUACUGUUUUUCUUUCUCACAAUAUCCAUUUAUUCAGUGGAUAUUGCAAGAUAUCAAGCAUUCAAGGAGAUUAACUUGCCUGUCCCUUCAGAUUUGGGUACAAUCCCUCCCUCCAGGUAGUUCUGGUAAGCAUUAUAUAAAUCAGAUACUUCCUAAAACUGAAUAUUACUCAAGAAAACAAUGCAAGUUUUCCCCAAGUUGAGAUGUCUUUCUCCAUACCCUCUUACAAAAGCUGUGUCAAAUCUCCUUAAUUAGCAUUGACGUGAUACCAACUGACAAUUGUACAGGCUGUUCAGAAACGUUUGUGUUGCAAUGUGGUGUUAUUUUUCACUGUGGGAUGACUAGAUUGCUCUGUAGUACUGGACUCCAACAUAACACAUUAAAGUUUAACCCAUUCAUGUUCUGGAAGUAAUAGGUGUUGUCAGGUAGGAACAUCCCUUUCUGGAAAUUUUACAGCUUGAAUAAUUGGAUAAACUGUAACCAUUUUAGACUUCAUGAAUAAACAUUUCUUAGACAAUAGUUAGGAGCUUCUG